Non-coding RNA from Acanthosepion pharaonis, 113 nucleotides. Lineage: Eukaryota; Metazoa; Mollusca; Cephalopoda; Sepiida; Sepiidae. The record is from the annotation of a GenBank genome assembly.
UUACGGCCAUAUCACGGUGAAACACGGGUUCCCGUACGAUCACCGAAGUUAAGCAAAAUCGAGCUUGGUCAGUAGCUAGAAGAGUGAUCGCUUAGGGAUAACACGUUCUGUAA